This 253-nucleotide ribosomal RNA is filed under the name uncultured bacterium. Its description in RNAcentral is "partial 16S ribosomal RNA". It matches the Rfam family "Bacterial small subunit ribosomal RNA", at positions 524 to 776 of the family's 1533-position model. The record is from RNAcentral.
UACGAAGGGUGCAAACGUUGCUCGGAAUUAUUGGGCGUAAAGCGCACGUAGGCGGCCUUGUAAGUCGGAUGUGAAAUCCCUCGGCUUAACCGAGGACGUGCAUCCGAAACUGUGAGGCUCGAGUAUGGAAGAGGGUCGCAGAAUUCCCGGUGUAGAGGUGAAAUUCGUAGAUAUUCGGAAGAACACCAGUGGCGAAGGCGACUUACUGGACGACUGUUGACGCUGAGGUGCGAAAGCGUGGGGAGCAAACAGG